Molecule: ribosomal RNA, 465 nt
Filed under: Vreelandella stevensii
Lineage: Bacteria; Pseudomonadati; Pseudomonadota; Gammaproteobacteria; Oceanospirillales; Halomonadaceae
Description: partial 16S ribosomal RNA
Rfam family: Bacterial small subunit ribosomal RNA
Source: RNAcentral
CCUACGGGGGACUGCAGUGGGGAAUAUUGGACAAUGGGGGGAACCCUGAUCCAGCCAUGCCGCGUGUGUGAAGAAGGCCCUCGGGUUGUAAAGCACUUUCAGUGAGGAAGAACGCCUGGUGGUUAAUACCCAUCAGGAAAGACAUCACUCACAGAAGAAGCACCGGCUAACUCCGUGCCAGCAGCCGCGGUAAUACGGAGGGUGCGAGCGUUAAUCGGAAUUACUGGGCGUAAAGCGCGCGUAGGUGGCUUGAUAAGCCGGUUGUGAAAGCCCCGGGCUCAACCUGGGAACGGCAUCCGGAACUGUCAAGCUAGAGUGCAGGAGAGGAAGGUAGAAUUCCCGGUGUAGCGGUGAAAUGCGUAGAGAUCGGGAGGAAUACCAGUGGCGAAGGCGGCCUUCUGGACUGACACUGACACUGAGGUGCGAAAGCGUGGGUAGCAAACAGGAUUAGAUACCCUUGUAGUC